Long non-coding RNA from Phragmites australis (common reed), 451 nucleotides. RefSeq lists it as uncharacterized. The transcript is spliced from 3 exons. The record is from RefSeq and is a predicted model, not a curated record. Lineage: Eukaryota; Viridiplantae; Streptophyta; Magnoliopsida; Poales; Poaceae.
GGCAUCUGAAGGUUCAUCCCUAUUGCUGCUCUGUGUAGUUAAUCUACCUUGUGCUUUCUGGAGCUUUUGAUUUCCUCACUUACUUCUGGGAUUACGCGGUUUAAUCUAUUGUGAUCAAGAUGUCAACCUCUAUGCUCAAAGAUAUACACCCCCGGAGUAGACACUGGGUUGUCUGUACCCGAGUCUCAAGAAUGUGGGAAUAUCGUGGAGGAUCUGAUGAUGGUGAUAUACGACAUAUUGACCUUGUGCUCUUGGAUGCUGAGGGGACUGCUAUGUACGCUGAAAUUGCCUCGGACAAUAUCAAAGACAAGAAAGCUUUGCUCGCUGAAGGGAAGGUAUACACCCUAAAGAGAUUCAGGGUGCUCAAAUCAAAACCCUCUUACAGACCUGUUGACUCAGAAUUUAUGAUCGAAAUUACCUGUCAUACCUUGAUUGAAGAGAACAGUGGCCA